This 504-nucleotide ribosomal RNA is filed under the name uncultured bacterium. RNAcentral's name for it is "bacterial SSU rRNA". It matches the Rfam family "Bacterial small subunit ribosomal RNA", at positions 21 to 518 of the family's 1533-position model. The record is from RNAcentral.
GGCUCAGGAUGAACGCUAGCGGCAGGCUUAACACAUGCAAGUCGAGGGGCAUCGGGAGUAGCAAUACUUGCCGGCGACCGGCGCAAGGGUGCGUAACGCGUGAGCAACAUGCCCGUAUCAGGGGGAUAAUCCAUGGAAACGUGGUCUAAUACCCCAUAGUAAUUAUGUAAGGCAUCUUAUAUAAUUUAAAGCUUUGGUGGAUACGGAUUGGCUCGCGUGACAUUAGCUAGAUGGUAAGGUAACGGCUUACCAUGGCUACGAUGUCUAGGGGUUCUGAGAGGAAGGUCCCCCCACACUGGAACUGAGACACGGUCCAGACUCCUACGGGAGGCAGCAGUGAGGAAUAUUGGACAAUGGAUGGAAAUCUGAUCCAGCCAUGCCGCGUGCAGGAAAGACGGCCCUAUGGGUUGUAAACUGCUUUUGUAUGGGAGCAAUAAGGGCUACGCGUAGUCCGAUGAGAGUACCAUACGAAUAAGCACCGGCUAACUCCGUGCCAGCAGCUGC